UACAGAGGGUGCAAGCGUUGUUCGGAAUUAUUGGGCGUAAAGGGCGCGUAGGCGGUUCGAUAAGUCGGGUGUGAAACCUCCAGGCUCAGCCUGGAGACGCCACCCGAUACUGUCGUGACUAGAGUCCAGUAGGGGAGCGUGGAAUUCCUGGUGUAGCGGUGAAAUGCGCAGAUAUCAGGAGGAACACCAGUGGCGAAGGCGGCGCUCUGGGCUGGAACUGACGUUGAGGAGCGAAAGCGUGGGGAGCGAACAGG
RNAcentral lists this ribosomal RNA (254 nucleotides) under uncultured bacterium. Its description in RNAcentral is "partial 16S ribosomal RNA". It matches the Rfam family "Bacterial small subunit ribosomal RNA", at positions 524 to 776 of the family's 1533-position model. The record is from RNAcentral.